RNAcentral lists this ribosomal RNA (457 nucleotides) under Myrmica tahoensis. Its description in RNAcentral is "partial 28S ribosomal RNA". The record is from RNAcentral. Lineage: Eukaryota; Metazoa; Arthropoda; Insecta; Hymenoptera; Formicidae.
CGAACGGGGAGAUUCAUCGUCAGCGGACGCCGGCUUCGCGUCGGUCGGCGAUGUCCCGCGGGGGCCCUCGCGGCUCUCAGCGCGGGCACGCUGCCGUGCGCCGAUGUAUCCGGCUUCGCCGUCGUGCACUUCUCCCCUGGUAGAACGUCGCGACCCGCUGGGUGUCGGUCUACGGCCCGGGUGCGGUGCCUGACGCGCCGCCGGUAAAACGGCGCGCGUMAAACCCCCGGUCGCCCGGCCGGCUGCCCGGYGGUACGCGCAAGGUAUCAGGCCGCAYACACAUUWRAACGGUGCAUCGAGGYYGUCGCAAGCGCGCGCCACGGUAMACGGAGGUACGGACCUAGCGCCGUCACCGGUCCUGGCCCRCUGUUGGUCGUACGGUUAACCUUCGACAGGCCUACGAACGUCCCAGCGUGGGGGUGUCGGUUGCUCGUCUCCCGCGCGCUCUCGCGUUGGC